CCCCCCCCCCCCUCCCCAAGUCCUUAAGAUGCAAAACAAAUUCACUCAACAAAAACCAAAUUGGUAUAAACCAUGGAACAAUCAUGCCGAGCGCUAUGUAAAAACCAGAAGCAACAAAACAAAAAAAAAUUGAAGGUAAAUUAAGACAUUAGGAAACCAAAAUGCUGAUGAGAGAAUAGACACCAAGAUAUACACAUUGAACUUUUGUUAAGUCUACCACUUCUGACCACCAAAAAAAUAGAUAAAUACAGUAUAGAAAUAAAUAUAUAUAUAUAUAUUUUUAGUGUACUGGUACAAGGCAUGGUAGACAGAAUGGUACGCAAACACAAAUAGGAGAAAACAAAAUGCUGAAUUCAUCAUGACAUAAGAUCAUGCACCAGCCAACUGGUCUGGCUUCAUAGCUCAACAAAUUCAGUUUUUUUUUUAGUUUUUUUUA
Biomphalaria pfeifferi is the source of this 436-nucleotide non-coding RNA. Lineage: Eukaryota; Metazoa; Mollusca; Gastropoda; Planorbidae. The record is from the annotation of a GenBank genome assembly.